CCUACGGGAGGCAGCAGUGAGGAAUAUUGGACAAUGGGCGCAAGCCUGAUCCAGCCAUGCCGCGUGCAGGAAGACGGUCCUAUGGAUUGUAAACUGCUUUUAUACAGGAAGAAAUACUUUCUCGUGAGAGAGCUUGACGGUACUGUAAGAAUAAGGAUCGGCUAACUCCGUGCCAGCAGCCGCGGUAAUACGGAGGAUCCAAGCGUUAUCCGGAAUCAUUGGGUUUAAAGGGUCCGUAGGCGGUUUUAAUAAGUCAGUGGUGAAAUCUGGUCGCUCAACGAUCAAACGGCCAUUGAUACUGUUAGACUUGAAUUAUUGUGAAGUAACUAGAAUAUGUAGUGUAGCGGUGAAAUGCUUAGAUAUUACAUGGAAUACCAAUUGCGAAGGCAGGUUACUAACAAUGGAUUGACGCUGAUGGACGAAAGCGUGGGGAGCGAACAGGAUUAGAUACCCUGGUAGUCCACGCCGUAAACCGAUGGAUACUAGCUGUUGGGCGCAAGUUCAGUGGCUAAGCGAAAGUGAUAAGUAUCCCACCUGGGGAGUACGUUCGCAAGAAUGAAACUCAAAUGAAUUGACCGGNUGAGACGNGCGAGGACGACGACGAGGGAGGAGG
Molecule: ribosomal RNA, 613 nt
Filed under: uncultured bacterium
Lineage: Bacteria
Description: bacterial SSU rRNA
Rfam family: Bacterial small subunit ribosomal RNA
Source: RNAcentral